This is a long non-coding RNA of Girardinichthys multiradiatus, 530 nucleotides long. RefSeq lists it as uncharacterized. The record is from RefSeq and is a predicted model, not a curated record. NCBI's taxonomy places the organism in Eukaryota, Metazoa, Chordata, Actinopteri, Cyprinodontiformes, Goodeidae. The transcript is spliced from 3 exons.
AAGAUAGGUGAGUCACUUCCUUAGCACAACACUUCUCCUUCAGACACUUUUAAACAGACUUUACACAAACACUUGCUCUUGUGACUACAUGACAGGGUUUCAAUGAUUCUGCUGGUAUGGUGUCUCUGUCAGUGAACCCUUGGUCUGACUGAUGUAUAAGGUCAAAUAGAGUGGGGAUAUCAUUCCCAAGUAUAACUGAAUAUGGCAAAGAGGGGACUACCGCUACCUGCGACAGAACCUAUAAAUGGUGUCUGGACCCCUGGGGAAGUAUUUGUCCAAACACCCUGGAGAGGACACAGAAAAGACAGACACCCACGCCACUUCUUAAUGAGGAGCAGAUGUGCAGAGCCUGGAACAAAAGGCUACAUGCUCAUCACUAAAAUACUCAAUACAUAUUCAAUAAAAAUGUAAACUUGUGUGCAAAUGAUUAUGUGCAAAUCCAUGCCUAAAGUGCAGUGCUAAAUAAAGUGUUUGUUAAAGUGCUAGAUAAAGUGCUUUUAAUAAAGUGCAAAGGCGCUCUUAAAGUGCUA